CCUUAAUGCGGCUGUACAGAGAGUAUUUAACUAUCGAAUUGACUGCAAGAUGAUACGAAGCCUAGACUUCAUUACGCCAUGUAAUUUGCAAUGUUUGUCGUAUUUGCUAAUGUCCAGAUGUAGUAAAAAAGACGAUAAAAAUCACGCCUAGAACUCGCUUGCAGAUUUUACAGUCGGGAUGUGUUAUUAUAACGGAUUAAGCGCGUUUUGUGUUUAAAAUCGUGACAUCAAACUACUACCAAGCUUUCUUCGAGCCGAAAAAAUCCGCCGCUUCGAUACUUGUGUGUAAGCUUGAAAGAGGUAAAAUAAGGUUUUUGAAAAACUGCGGAUCACAGGAGCGUCGGUUGUGAAAUAUACAUGAUCGCUGCGAUACGUUAUGCAAUUGGUGUGGAUCACGUGUCGCAAUCGCUGAAUCGAAUUCGCAUUCGCACGGGGUAGAGAUAAUCUCAAGGAAAAUGCUGAUGCUGAACGAUGAAAGGCGGAGAAAGAAAACACGGACAAUUCGCAUCAUGCUUCCACGAGUCCAGCUCAGAGUUGUGCAUGAUACUUAUAAUUGUCAGUUACUCUGGCCAAUAUGGUAAAGCGUUGACUGAAGAAUAUAACGACGAAUACCUUUUUCUGGUGGGCCUGGGAGCAUAGGAGGGUUCUGCUUUAUCGACUCUACGUAACGAGCAUGCAGCCGCCACGGAGUAGCAGCCAAAGUAGCGUCGGUAUGGAAGCUUGAGAUUAAUUGGAGAGAUGGAAAUCAGCUUCGUAAAACUACGAGUGUAUUUUAACUAACACUUGAAAGGUACGAGCAAAAAUUGUUUUCAUCCAACUGUCGCAGAAUGGCAGCGUUAUUAGCUGACCCGUUAACUGAAGAAUAUAUCUUUGGUCAACGGCUGACCGUCGGAGGGCCGAGCCACUUCAGUCUGCAAUCGGCAGGAGAGAUAUGCUGCGUAUUUCUUGUCUGAAAUCUGAAGACUAAAUAAUUACACAUCAUAUCAUAUCACCAUAUAUCAUACAUCAUACAUCAUACAUCAUCAUACAUAGUAUUAAAGUUCGAAACCAAAGUUUGGGUGUUCAGAAAAUGACGUGACCCAAAAUUUUUUUUCUCUUGACGUGAUCGAUCUACAGUAAUCAGCUAGCCAAAUUCCUCAGUCUGGAAACGAUCGCGGAGUACAGCGGACGGAUGUGAACCGCGCUCCGCAGAUUUUGAGUAACGGGAUCUGUACUUCCUGGAUCCUGCGCUUAAGGUCCGCUACCUGGUGAAUCUGAUCUAUCAGGACAAGCGCUUCGUGGUUCGUGCGAAGCAGGUACGCUACCUGGAGAAACUCGAGUUCCGGGACAAGCGCUCCGUAGUUUCUAUGCUCCAGGUCCGCUACCUGGUGAAAUUUGACUUUCAGGACUAGCACUCCGUGGUUCCUGCGCUGCACGUCCGCUACCUGGUGACACUCGACUUCAGGGACAAGCGCUCAGUGGUUCUGGCUGUCCAGGUCCUUGACCUAGUGACUUUUGACCGUCGGAACUAAUUUUCCGUAGUUCUGGUUAAACUUGUCAUGUUGAUAAUAAAUUAUUUCAAUUCAUUUUUCACUCAA
This 1577-nucleotide long non-coding RNA is filed under the name Neodiprion lecontei (redheaded pine sawfly). Its description in RNAcentral is "uncharacterized LOC124293516, transcript variant X2". The record is from RNAcentral. Lineage: Eukaryota; Metazoa; Arthropoda; Insecta; Hymenoptera; Diprionidae.